Molecule: long non-coding RNA, 758 nt
Filed under: Anser brachyrhynchus (Pink-footed goose)
Lineage: Eukaryota; Metazoa; Chordata; Aves; Anseriformes; Anatidae
Description: lncRNA (ENSABRG00000001186.1)
Source: RNAcentral
AUGAUCCUCUCUGGGAUUUUAGGAAUGUUGAGACGUGCUGGUUAUAAAGCCCGAAGUACAAAAUGGUCACGGAUGGCUGGAAUGAGGCAUGUUCUAAUGGAAACAAAUCACUUGUCACUAAGCAGCCUUCAAACUUUUGAACAAAAGCUCAGAAGGGUCAGGGAAAAGACAUGUUUGUUGACUUAAAAUGGCUGGAUGCAGGUUGUCAGAAAUGCAUAGGCUUCAAUAUUGCUGGGGUAACCCUUCAGUUCUAGGGGUUUUAAACAAGGUUAACCACUUUGAUGGCAACCAUGAGUAGAACGAGCAAUUUACACUAACAGAAAGCUAAUACGUGUAUAAACUAAAGUGUGCUUACUACUGAAAUGUAAAGUGCAUAUACCACUGCAAAACAGCUUCAGCAGGGAACUCGGUUGUGGGAACCACAUUCAGUUGUACAGACAUGAAUGGUCAUGAGGAAGACUACCCUAUGCCUACUGAAUUUUAGAAGGGUCACCAAUGUUACUGUAACAUAAAAUGUGGGAUGUAUGUGGGAUUAAUCAGUGUUUCAGUUAGAUAGCUAAAAUAGUGUAGUUUGGCUUUAUGACAAUUUGAGGGUAAAUCCAAAUGCCAAUUAAUCUGUUAAAUCAACUUUCUGUGUUCUCAGUGCUAAGUGAAAUUAUGCAAGGUUAUCAUUAAGAUAUUUUAUUUGCUUCCAAGACCCGUGAUCAGGUUCAGGACCCCUCAACCAACUAUAAAUAAAGGACCAGCCCUCAUUUUUC